Molecule: RNA transcript, 5930 nt
Organism: Eupeodes corollae
Lineage: Eukaryota; Metazoa; Arthropoda; Insecta; Diptera; Syrphidae
Gene: Shab
Gene name: potassium voltage-gated channel protein Shab
Exons: 14
Source: RefSeq, a predicted model, not a curated record
UUAUCACAACAAACAUUUUCCGCGCCUGCCCAUUAAAACACACUUCCCAUUUUCCAAUGAGAGCACACACACCGAAAAGGAACACAAACAAAAAAAAAUAUCAAAACGAGAGCAUGAAAAAUGCCACUAUUCAAAAUUGGAAAGCUAGAAAAUUGUUGAAAGGAAAAGUUUUCAGUGGAGUAUCGGCCACCGUCCAAAGCGUAUCUCGAUAACGGUAAAUAAGAAAAGAAAAAAAAAGAAAAAAUACAUACAUAAAACGGUUCUUGGGAAUUUCAUUGAUUGUGUGAAAGUAUGCAUAAUACAAAAUUGUGAAAACGUGCAAACUUGUAAUUAAUUCAAAAGAAUUUAAAUUUACAAUCGACAGCGGAAAGAAAUUUCUCGAUACGUGAAGUGCAAGUGAAGUGUUGAAAUGCAUUAAUGAUUACACUAUAAAUUUAGAUUUAAAAUUAAUUUAAAUAAGUGAAAAGUAAAAUAAAAUAGUUUUUAAUCAUUGCAAAGAAGAUCUUAAAAAAGUGCAACAUGAAGAAAUUAAAGUGUAGUGAUAAAUUGUUAGAUAAAAAUAAAAAUAAUAAUUUUAUUUGAUUUUUGUACUAAAAUUAAAUAUUAAAAUUUUAAAUGCAAAGUUAUAAUUAUAAUUUUAUUUGCUAUAUGAAGUGAAUAAAAAUGUUAAAAGAAAAAAACAAUACCUAUUGUAUUUUAUAUAUAAGUUAAGUUAUUAAAUGCUUACACUCUAUUUAAAAAAAUAAUAUACGUUCCUCUUGAAUAAUAAACCAUAUUAAGAUAAACUACUACUACUUACUAUUGCUACUACUACUACUGCUAUAACUAGACACACACACACACACACAGAAGCCGUCUCAACAAAACCAAAUUGGAUUUGAAUAAAAUAUUACAUUUUGCCACGGAAUCGAUUUCCGUACUAGUUAACUUAACUGAUUAAUAAGAUGUCAUCGCAUAACAAGCCUUUAUGGUCCUCGUCAGCUGGCAUGGGUUAGCUUUAAUUAAACUGAUUGCAGUUCUAUACCUACACCUCCUCUAUAUAUACAUAUAUACAGUACAUAUUAUACAAAACCCCUUUUUCCAUUCAUUCAACAAUAAUACGGAAAGGAACUCGUGUUGUAUACGUAUAAUAUCGAUUCCGAGACGCCACCGCUGCGCCGUCACCCGCAUUCAACCAUACGUGAUUUCAAGAAGACAUGACGAAGUGUUGGCUGAACAAUAGUUGCUGCAGGGGCAAUCAUCCACGUCGAAUAAAGCAAGUUAUCGUAGCUAAAGCAGAAAGCAUCAAUAGCCAGCGUUUUUACACUUUUUUUCAAAUUAUCACCGAUAUAAAAGAAUCUUCAGUAAGGAGCUGAAUAAUAGGGAUGAUUGAUUCGAUGUAGCGUAGCGGCCCUAUGGUCGGCGAACGCGAUAGAGACCGUGAAGCGGUGCGCUGGGAACUGGGCGAGUCUACACCGCCCCAAUACAAUAAUGGAGGAUCACAAAUGGUCGGAACAUUGUGUGGUGGACAGGCUGUUGGCCAACAGCAACAACAAUUACAGCAGCAACAGCAACAGCAACAGAAGCACCAUCAACAACAACAGCAACAGCAACAACAUCAAUACUACCAACAGCAGCAACAGACGACGAACUGGGUGGAAAACGAGACGAUUGGAAGCGGUGGAAGCGAUAAUCAGCCAUACUACGAUACGAGUGGGAAUGUGGACUGGGCCCGGGCCAUGGGCACUGGCGGCGCUGGUUCUUACGGAUGUGGUACCAGCGUCGGUGGCAUUACAGCUGGUGGCAGCAGUAGCAAUUUGGGUCGCUACGAUCCGGCUAUUGGUUACAUCGAGACUGGCAACACCAGUCUCGGUGGCGAUACGAACAAUCUGUCAUACGGUACAUCGGUGGCGAACACCAACACCAACACCGGUGGCGGUGGAGCGGGCACCACCAGCGGUAGCGGUGGUGGUGGCGGGUCCACUGGCAAAGAGGUACGCUACGCUCCAUUCCCCAUUACAUCGCCGACCAACUCGAACCCCACAACUUCCCAGCCACCCGCACUUCUACAACGGACACAUUCCAGAUCCAUGUCCUCCAUACCACCACCUGAACCAUUUAUGAUAGCACAGUCCAAACAGAUGAACACGCGCGUUUCGAUCAACGUGGGCGGCGUCAAGCACGAAGUUCUCUGGCGGACGCUCGAGCGUCUGCCGCACACAAGACUUGGCCGCCUGCGCGAAUGCACCACACACGAAUCCAUAACGGAAUUAUGCGAUGAUUAUUCCUUAGUUGACAACGAAUAUUUUUUCGAUAGACAUCCGAAAAGUUUUAGUUCGAUUUUAAAUUUCUACCGCACCGGUAAGCUGCACAUCGUGGACGAGAUGUGUGUGCUUGCCUUCAGCGAUGAUCUCGAGUAUUGGGGCGUCGAUGAACUCUAUCUGGAGUCGUGCUGCCAGCAUAAAUACCACCAGCGUAAAGAGAACGUCCACGAGGAAAUGCGCAAGGAGGCUGAAAGUCUGCGGCAACGGGACGAAGAGGAAUUCGGCGAAGGUAAAUGCGCAGAGUAUCAGAAAUAUUUGUGGGAAUUGCUGGAAAAGCCUAACACUAGUUUUGCGGCCAGGGUAAUCGCGGUGAUAUCAAUCCUGUUUAUAGUCCUGUCUACCAUAGCCCUGACGUUGAACACCUUACCACAACUACAAACCGAUCAUAAUGGUACACCUCAGGAUAAUCCGCAAUUGGCUAUGGUUGAGGCCGUCUGUAUAUCGUGGUUUACAUUAGAGUACGUACUUAGAUUUAGUGCAUCGCCGGAUAAGUGGAAGUUUUUCAAAGGCGGCCUUAACAUAAUAGACCUAUUGGCAAUACUCCCAUAUUUUGUGUCCCUAUUUCUAUUGGAAACAAAUAAAAAUGCAACGGACCAGUUCCAGGAUGUGCGCCGGGUGGUGCAAGUAUUUCGCAUCAUGCGCAUCCUGCGAAUCCUUAAGCUGGCCCGUCAUUCUACGGGCCUGCAGUCAUUAGGCUUUACGCUACGUAACUCAUAUAAGGAACUCGGUCUACUAAUGCUGUUCUUGGCAAUGGGCGUUCUCAUAUUUUCUUCGCUAGCAUAUUUUGCUGAAAAGGAUGAGCCACAAACAAAAUUCGUUUCGAUUCCGGAAACAUUUUGGUGGGCGGGUAUUACAAUGACAACUGUUGGCUACGGGGACAUCUAUCCCACUACUGCACUGGGAAAGGUUAUUGGUACUGUGUGUUGCAUAUGCGGUGUUCUGGUAAUCGCUUUGCCUAUUCCCAUCAUCGUUAACAAUUUUGCCGAAUUUUAUAAGAAUCAGAUGCGCAGAGAGAAGGCCCUCAAGCGGCGCGAGGCCCUAGACCGCGCCAAGCGUGAAGGCAGCAUUGUGUCGUUUCAUCAUAUUAAUUUGAAAGAUGCCUUUGCCAAGAGUAUGGAUCUCAUCGAUGUUAUAGUUGAUACAGAAAAACGAGAAAGUCGUAGCAAAUCCAUUUCGAAUUGGCAACGGCUGACUCAAGCGAUACGGCGCUCACCCACAGGGCACAAUAUUUCGCAAACAGAUGGGAACAGCACCGAAGGGGAAUCUUCCAUGGGCAAAAAUCCAGCGACCACAGGACCCGGAUGUUACAAGAGCUUCGAUCAUGUUGCAUCUCUUAGGCAUUCAAACAUGUCACAACAUCAUCGUUCAUCAGUACCUGAUACAGAUGCAGUUCCGCCAUAUUCAGUAGAGAAUCAAAGCCAGAAAACUUCAAUGAACGCUAUGGAAACUUAUCAGCAGCAGCAGCAACAACAACAACAACAGAAACAAAGACAAUUACAGCAACUACAGCAGUUACAACUUCUGCAACAGAAAGAAAAAGAUCCUGAACAGCAAGCACUUCAACUUGUGGAACCCGGCGGUGCCGGCGCUGCUGGUGUCGUCGGCGAAGACGACCGAACUCUACCUGAAGCAGCCCAAAUGAUGGUCACUCCAGGGGAGGUAGCCGAACUUCGACGUCAAGUCGCACUAGAAAAUUUACAAAACCAAAGGAUGGACAAUCUCGAACAGGACGUCCCAACGGAAUUCGAAUGUUGCUUUUGCACUACAAAGGAUUUCAAAGAAUUUACAGAUGCCGAAGGGGUUAUUUCACUUCCAACAUCAGACUUCCAUAAACCCAUUUGUUUAGAAAUGCGUUCAUUGCAAUCCAGUCAAUCGAAUCAAUUGAAAUUACUGGCACCACCACCGCCGAUUCCACCGCACCCAUCGGCGGCAUCGCUUAUGGCCAAUGGUGACAGCAGUAUACUACUGCCAUCCGAUAUGACCUCUGUAUCAGCAAUCACUACGGUAGCCUCAUCAUCGUCUGCAUCGUAUGGCACAACUACAACAACCGUUGCCCUACCACUGGAAACUCCAUUACGUUACGCGCCUUUCAUUAGCAAUAAUAUUAAUAUUAGUACUAAUAACUUUAACAAUAAUUACAAUAAUAAUUUUAAUAGUAUAUCAACGGGAGUAGCAAACACCGCCAACAAUAACGUUAACAAUAACUACAAUAACAAUGCCGAUUUGGCAAGCGUUGAUAGCUCCGAUACGUACGCCAGUUGCCAAACGCAUCCAUUUUUGUCACAAGCCGAUCUCACAUCGGAUUUGGCCGACGAAGCGUGUGCUCUCGACAUCGACAUGGACAAUCUGUACAUAAAUCCGUUGGAAAAGGACACACAACAACAGGGUGUGGCAACUUCGACGACAACUGGAAUGAUUCGAUCGCAAGUCAAAAAGAGUGCUUCUGGUGACACUGCACUGCGGAACUUGGGUGGGGGCGUCAGUCCGAUGGAUGACGUUUUUCAAAAUUUCGAUGUUCAGGAUCGUGGCAGUAGGGUAAGUUUGAAUGAAACGCCAGUGCCAAAGCAUCGUAAGACACGAUUCCAACAAAGUUCAAAGCCGCGUGCCAGAUUCGAAGAUACCAAAAAACUAUCGCAGGAGAGUCUGUCCACUCAGGACGGCAGCGUUAAGAAAAAGCGUUCGUCAUUCAUGCCGGCCAAAAGUCUGGCAACAGCUACUAAAUUAAUUAAUCAGCAUCUGUUUGGUAUUCAAAAUGUUGGAUCUAGAGCGAAAUUCGAAAGUAGACAUUCGUCAUCGAUUGAUUCGAUUGAUGCAUCGCCAAAUUUGGAGCAUCAUCGGCGUUCCAAGUCGAUUCUAAAGAAUAAAUCGGAUGUGUCGAGAGUUCUAGCCGACCCUGAAAGUGAGCGGUUGCUUGCGGAUAAUAUGUCAGGAUCGGGAGUUUCCGAUAAUGGCACUGUUAUGUGUGAAUCUGGAAGCGAUUACUCACCGAACAAAUUACCUCACUCAGUUUUAGCAAAAUCAAUAUCCCCACCUCCUCUUAGGCAUCGAACAUUAAUACAACAACGCUCAGGACCAGCAACACUGCAAUCCAAGCCGACUAAAUUCCAAACGCCACGUUAUCCAGAAGAGCAACAACUAAGGCACGUCAAGCCCGUACUAUCACGAUCAUCGGGUACGUCCCAAUUAGCUGACUCACGAUAUGAUUCAGCAAAUAGAGACAGUAGUUUAGAUUUUGUUUGAAGAAGAUGGAUGUUCAAAUCCUUAAAAAAAACUGUUUUUGAAUUCAUUAGCUUAUCAAUAAAAUAUUCAUACAAAUUGGCUAAACUUUCAAAAAUUAAUGUAUUUGAUCUUAGUUAUGGAUGAAUGGAAUUCAUUGUCAAUUUCUACAAUUCAGAUUCAGAAACGACGUUCACAUCGAACGUUAAUAUUCGCGAUGAAAGUGGCGAAGGUGGUGGCUCAAGUGAUGAAAAUCGUUCACUUAUCCAGCGAGGUAACUCUUAUGAGAAAUCUGAAUCUGGCGGAGGAACUUCGUAGCAUUAAUUUCAUUAUUAUUAAAUUUAAAUUCCAUUCAAUUCGUAUCUAAAAGCAAUUUAUUAUGUCUAUAAUAUAAAAUAAAACAAAAAAUAA